AUACGAAGGUGGCAAGCGUUGCUCGGCAUCACUGGGCGUAAAGAGCUCGUAGGCGGUGGCGCAAGUCAGUGGUGAAAGCCCUCGGCUUAACCGAGGAAUUGCCAUUGAUACUGCGUCGCUAGUCGACCGGCGGGGUGAGUGGAAUUCUCGGUGGAGCGGUGAAAUGCAUAGAUAUCGGGAGGAACGCCGGAGGCGAAGGCGGCUCACUAGCCGGUUCGAGACGCUGAGGAGCGAAAGCGUGGGGAGCAAACAGGAUUAGAUACCCCAGUAGUCC
This 274-nucleotide ribosomal RNA is filed under the name uncultured bacterium. Its description in RNAcentral is "partial 16S ribosomal RNA". It matches the Rfam family "Bacterial small subunit ribosomal RNA", at positions 523 to 796 of the family's 1533-position model. The record is from RNAcentral.